UACGUAGGGGGCAAGCGUUAUCCGGAUUUACUGGGUGUAAAGGGAGCGUAGACGGUUAUGUAAGUCUGGAGUGAAAACCCAGGGCCCAACCCUGGGACUGCAUUUGAAACUGCCAUACUGGAGUGCCGGAGAGGUAAGUGGAAUUCCUAGUGUAGCGGUGAAAUGCGUAGAUAUUAGGAGGAACACCAGUGGCGAAGGCGGCUUACUGGACUGUAACUGACGUUGAGGCUCGAAAGCGUGGGGAGCAAACAGG
RNAcentral lists this ribosomal RNA (253 nucleotides) under uncultured Eubacteriales bacterium. RNAcentral describes it as "uncultured Clostridiales bacterium partial 16S ribosomal RNA". It matches the Rfam family "Bacterial small subunit ribosomal RNA", at positions 524 to 776 of the family's 1533-position model. The record is from RNAcentral. Lineage: Bacteria; Bacillati; Bacillota; Clostridia; Eubacteriales.